RNAcentral lists this ribosomal RNA (510 nucleotides) under uncultured bacterium. RNAcentral describes it as "partial 16S ribosomal RNA". It matches the Rfam family "Bacterial small subunit ribosomal RNA", at positions 28 to 523 of the family's 1533-position model. The record is from RNAcentral.
GACGAACGCUGGCGGCGUGCCUAAUACAUGCAAGUCGAGCGGACUUAAAAAGCUUGCUUUUUAAGUUAGCGGCGGACGGGUGAGUAACACGUGGGCAACCUGCCUGUAAGACUGGGAUAACUUCGGGAAACCGGAGCUAAUACCGGAUAAUCCUUUCCUACUCAUGUAGGAAAGCUGAAAGACGGUUUACGCUGUCACUUACAGAUGGGCCGGCGGCGCAUUAGCUAGUUGGGGAGGUAACGGCUCACCAAGGCGACGAUGCGUAGCCGACCUGAGAGGGUGAUCGGCCACACUGGGACUGAGACACGGCCCAGACUCCUACGGGAGGCAGCAGUAGGGAAUCUUCCGCAAUGGACGAAAGUCUGACGGAGCAACGCCGCGUGAGUGAUGAAGGUUUUCGGAUCGUAAAACUCUGUUGUUAGGGAAGAACAAGUACGAGAGUAACUGCUCGUACCUUGACGGUACCUAACCAGAAAGCCACGGCUAACUACGUGCCAGCCGCCGCCGUAA